This 886-nucleotide ribosomal RNA is filed under the name uncultured Spirochaetota bacterium. RNAcentral describes it as "bacterial SSU rRNA". It matches the Rfam family "Bacterial small subunit ribosomal RNA", at positions 28 to 909 of the family's 1533-position model. Lineage: Bacteria; Pseudomonadati; Spirochaetota. The record is from RNAcentral.
AACAAACGCUGGCGGCGUGUCUUAAGCAUGCAAGUUGAGCGGCAAGGGGGAGCGAUCCCCCCUAGAGCGGCGGACUGGUGAGUAACACGUGGAUGAUCUACCCGAGGCAUGGGGAUAGUCACUAGAAAUAGUGGGUAAUACCGAAUACGGUGCGCAUCGUGAGGGUGCGCAAGAAAGGUGCUACGGCACCGGCCUAGGAUGAGUCUGCGUCCCAUUAGCUGGUUGGUGAGGUAAGAGCCCACCAAGGCGAUGAUGGGUAGCCGGCCUGAGAGGGUGUACGGCCACACUGGGACUGAGAUACGGCCCAGACUCCUACGGGAGGCAGCAGCUAAGAAUAUUCCGCAAUGGACAAAAGUCUGACGGAGCGACGCCGCGUGGAUGAAGAAGGCCGAAAGGUUGUAAAGUUCUUUUGUUGGGGAAGAAUAACCAUGGGAGGGAAUGCCCGUGGGAUGACAUGAACCGACGAAUAAGCCCCGGCUAACUACGUGCCAGCAGCCGCGGUAACACGUAGGGGGCGAGCGUUGUUCGGAAUUACUGGGCGUAAAGGGCAUGUAGGCGGUCUUGUAAGCUUGGCGUGAAAGACCACGGCUCAACCGUGGGAUUGCGUUGAGAACUGCGAGGCUUGAGUGACGGAGAGGGAGCUAGAAUUCCUGGUGUAGGGGUGGAAUCUGUAGAGAUCAGGAAGAAUACCAAUGGCGAAAGCAAGCUCCUGGCCGAUGACUGACGCUGAGGUGCGAAAGUGUGGGGAUCAAACAGGAUUAGAUACCCUGGUAGUCCACACUGUAAACGAUGUGCACUAGGUGCUGGUACGGAUGUAUCAGUGCCGUAGCUAACGUGAUAAGUGCACCGCCUGGGGAGUAUGCUCGCAAGGGUGAAAUCAAAGGAA